Long non-coding RNA from Cannabis sativa, 811 nucleotides. RefSeq lists it as uncharacterized. The record is from RefSeq and is a predicted model, not a curated record. Lineage: Eukaryota; Viridiplantae; Streptophyta; Magnoliopsida; Rosales; Cannabaceae. The transcript has 2 exons.
UUUGAAGAAACCUUUCCCUAGUUCGGAGUUCUUACCAGUCAAAAGUUAGGAUCUUUACUCGGUUAUGGUAUUUCGUUUUAAGUUUUGUUUCAGAAAAAGUGUCUUCAGUAAAAAUUCAAUAUCUCUCUCAAUUUUGAUCCAUUUUAAAAGAUCUUUAUCUCGUUUUAAAGCUUAGGAAAAUAGCUACAUUUUUUAUGAAGAAAGUAUUGUCUAGAUCAGGGUGUAACUAUUUUUAAAACAUUUAUUUUUGGACUGUAUUCAGAAAUCGGCAUGAUCCAGGAUUUUAAAGAAACUGUUUUGAGAAAACAUGCAUAACUCCUAGAUUAUAGCUCCGAUUUUGAUGAUCUUUAUACCGUUAGAAAGGUCUUUCAAUUAACUAAAAACCUUGUGAACAGUAGGACUUCUAAUUCAAACGUUUUAUAUGUCAAAUUCUAGGUUAAACUUGCUGUACAGUAAGAGUAAUAAAUAUAUUGAGUUUAUCGGUGGACUAAGGGUUUCACUAAUUGUUAUAGGGCCUAGAAGGUAUCGUAAGAGUUAAUUACAGCGGAGUUGAGAUAAGUAAGCCUGUAAGCUUUCGGUGACAAGUUGAGUCUGGGCAGCAUGGGGUGUAUCUCGUGUGAUCAUGUAACUGCGUGUGGUCUUGGCCAUCUUCCGCUGAAAGUUUUUUUUUAAAUUUAUUAAACUUAUCGAGGAUGUUGUCGUUUAAAUUUUCUAUUACUUUUCCCUAAGUGGUAAUACUUUAUUUUCAACUGGGUACCCAUGUUUUGAAAAGUGUUUUUUUUUUUUAAAAAAAUAAAGGCAACAUUAGUAU